CCAGACUCCUACGGGAGGCAGCAGUGGGGAAUAUUGCACAAUGGGGGGAACCCUGAUGCAGCGACGCCGCGUGGGUGAAGGAGUACUUCGGUACGUAAAGCCCUAUCAGCAGGAAAGAAAAUGACGGUACCUGACUAAGAAGCCCCGGCUAACUACGUGCCAGCAGCCGCGGUAAUACGUAGGGGGCAAGCGUUAUCCGGAUUUACUGGGUGUAAAGGGGGCGCAGACGGCAGCGCAAGCCAGGAGUGAAAGCCCGGGGCCCAACCCCGGGACUGCUCUGGAAACUGUACGGCUGGAGUGCAGGAGAGGUAAGUGGAAUUCCUAGUGUAGCGGUGAAAUGCGUAGAUAUUAGGAGGAACACCAGUGGCGAAGGCGGCUUACUGGACUGUAACUGACGUUGAGGCUCGAAAGCGUGGGGAGCAAACAGGAUUAGAUACCCCCGUACA
This 446-nucleotide ribosomal RNA is filed under the name uncultured bacterium. RNAcentral's name for it is "partial 16S ribosomal RNA". It matches the Rfam family "Bacterial small subunit ribosomal RNA", at positions 331 to 794 of the family's 1533-position model. The record is from RNAcentral.